RNAcentral lists this ribosomal RNA (500 nucleotides) under uncultured bacterium. RNAcentral describes it as "partial 16S ribosomal RNA". It matches the Rfam family "Bacterial small subunit ribosomal RNA", at positions 30 to 523 of the family's 1533-position model. The record is from RNAcentral.
AUUGAACGCUGGCGGAAUGCUUUACACAUGCAAGUCGAACGGCAGCACGGACUUCGGUCUGGUGGCGAGUGGCGAACGGGUGAGUAAUACAUCGGAACGUGCCCAGUCGUGGGGGAUAACGUAGCGAAAGCUACGCUAAUACCGCAGACGAUCUAAGGAUGAAAGCGGGGGAUCGCAAGACCUCGCGCGAUUGGAGCGGCCGAUGGCAGAUUAGGUAGUUGGUAGGGUAAAGGGCUACCAAGCCGACGAUCUGUAGCUGGUCUGAGGGGAUGAUCAUGCACACUGGGACUGAGACACGGCCCGGACUCUUACAGGAGGCAGCAGUGGGGAAUUUUGAACGAUGGGCGCAAGCCUGAUCCAGCAAUUCCGCGUGAAGGAUGAAAGCAUUCGGGUUGUAAACUGCUUUUGUACAGAACUAAAAGGCUCUGGUUAAUACCCGGGGCUCAUGACGGUACUGUAAGAAUAAGCACCGGCUAACUACGUGCCAGCAGCCGCCGUAA